This 486-nucleotide ribosomal RNA is filed under the name uncultured bacterium. RNAcentral's name for it is "partial 16S ribosomal RNA". It matches the Rfam family "Bacterial small subunit ribosomal RNA", at positions 29 to 507 of the family's 1533-position model. The record is from RNAcentral.
AUUGAACGCUGGCGGCAUGCCUUACACAUGCAAGUCGAACGGCAGCACGGGGGGUAACCCCUGGUGGCGAGUGGCGAACGGGUGAGUAAUAUAUCGGAACGUGUCCUGUAGCGGGGGAUAACCUAUCGAAAGAUGGACUAAUACCGCAUACGACCUACGGGUGAAAGCGGAGGACCGCAAGGCUUCGCACUAUAGGAGCGGCCGAUAUCGGAUUAGCUAGUUGGCGGGGUAACGGCCCACCAAGGCGACGAUCCGUAGCUGGUCUGAGAGGACGAUCAGCCACACUGGAACUGAGACACGGUCCAGACUCCUACGGGAGGCAGCAGUGGGGAAUUUUGGACAAUGGGCGCAAGCCUGAACCAGCCAUGCCGCGUGAGUGAAGAAGGCCUUCGGGUUGUAAAGCUCUUUCGGCGGGGACGAAACGGUUCGUGCUAAUACCACGGACUACUGACGGUACCCGCAGAAGAAGCACCGGCUAACUACGUG